CCUAGGCUGGUCUUGAACUCUUGGCCUCAAGCAAUCCUUCCACUCCAGCCUCCCAAAGUGCUGGGAUUACAGUCAUGACACACUGCUCCCAGUCAGUUUUUAAGCAAAUUUAAUACCAUGACCUUGCUUAACCAUUUCUCCAAGUUAUUAAAAACACACACCCUGGUCUUUGCUCCCUUCUUAGAGGUAGAUAGAUAUCAAUGAGUUUGAGGCAGUCACUUUUUAGAGUGCGGAAUUGUAGUCUUUUGUUGCUUCAAAACUAGUUUCUCUGUGUAUCUUUAUAAGUAAAAAUAAAUGUUUAUUGAGAUAAAUAUUUUUUAAAUUAUAAAGGAUUUAUCUUUAUAGCUGUAUCUAGGAUAUAGGACUUAUAUAGUUUAUUUUCUCAACCUUUUUACCACGUACACUUUGAUUCUAGCUACUCAUAAUGAAAUACUUGGUGAGUAAACAGUUAUACUAAAUCUGGCCAUAGACUUUAUUUCAGUAAAAGGAGCUAUCAAAAUAGAAAAUUUGCCUUGCUCUGACCAUUAAUUUUAACAAACAAUCUCAAAGGUUUCAGUAACAGCCAUUAUCUUUGAAAUCUACCUUCUGUAAUUCAGUGUGAAUAGGAAAAUACAUCCUUGAUUCUGUAUCAAGUAGAUUGUUUGCUCUUUGUCUUUUAAGAAACAUACUAGGGGAAAAUGUUUUAAGUAAUUUUUCCCAGUAGUUGAUGAAGCUGACUUUUAAGCUUCAUUUUAAAACUACUGUGAUAGACUAAGGUAAAUUGUUUUUGAUAGUUACAGCAAUAUGAUUUCUUAGCAGCUGUCAAUAUAGCUUGAUUCAAAAGUUUGAACACUAAAUUACUUAUUAUAAUAAAUUGAAGAGCUUGGAAUAAUUGCAGUCUUAUCUACUCAACAAAGUAGUCUUUAGUAGCAAAAAAGUUAGCGAGAAAAAUGUCAAUACUUCAAAAGGAAAAAGUUUCAUAGUUUAUCUAGAUGGAAGUAACAUGAUAAAGAAGGGUCAAAUAUUACCAGAAUUUUUGCUGAAACUUUCAAGUUGAUAAGAUGCUGGGAAUUUGAGGAAUGUAAAUGAAGAGCAUAGUAAAUCAGAGAGAUUUAGUUUAUUUUUAACAAUAAUCACUUUCCUCCUAACCGUUGUCCACUUACGAUGUAGAACAGUACCUAACUUUGAAAACUCAGGUUGUGCUGUGAAAGAGGCAGCGUGCUAGUGACCGCGACGCUGUGUACCUCCCUCCCUGCCUGCUGUCCAGCUUUGCUCUCCAGCGUCCCGAGUCGGCGUUCGGGGUUUCCCAGCAGAAAAGCACAAAGGGCCAGAGAGGUGUAAGAACACGCAUUAUUUCACAGGUGAUUUGAAGAUAUUAAAACUAGAAAUUGGAACUGGAAAAUCCCAAGAAUUCAAGGUGCUUUUAACAUGAGAAUUACACUGAACUCAUUUGACUAUACUUAAAAGUUGAUUGCACAGUUACUGAGUCCCAGGAUUAUAGUUUCUUUUAUUUUCAAGAACCUUGUUGAUGUUAUAAAUGUAAAUCUAGACUGUUUUAUUUUUUUAUAAAAUGUUUUCUAAAUACAA
Long non-coding RNA from Lemur catta (Ring-tailed lemur), 1566 nucleotides. RefSeq lists it as uncharacterized. The transcript has 2 exons. The record is from RefSeq and is a predicted model, not a curated record. Lineage: Eukaryota; Metazoa; Chordata; Mammalia; Primates; Lemuridae.